This 474-nucleotide ribosomal RNA is filed under the name uncultured bacterium. Its description in RNAcentral is "SSU rRNA". It matches the Rfam family "Bacterial small subunit ribosomal RNA", at positions 26 to 518 of the family's 1533-position model. The record is from RNAcentral.
AGGAUGAACGCUGGCGGCGUGCCUAACACAUGCAAGUCGAACGUCCUGUCUCGCAAGAGGCAGGGAGUGGCGGACGGGUGAGUACCACGUGGGUUAUCUACCGUGAGGUGAGGAAUACCGGCGAGAAAUCGCCGACAAGACCGCAUAGCCUCGGUGCAAGCCGAGGAAAGCUUUCUCGAGAGAGGGAGCGCCACACGAGGAGCCUGCGCCCGAUUAGCUAGCUGGUGGAGUAACGGUUCACCAGGGCGACGAUCGGUAGCUGGUCUGAGAGGACGAUCAGCCACACUGGGAUUGAGAACGGCCCAGACUCCUACGGGGGGCAGCAGUGAGGAAUUUUCGUCAAUGGGGGCAACCCUGAACGAGCAACGCCGCGUGCAGGAAGAAGGUUUUCGGAUCGUAAACUGCUUUUCGUCGGGAAGAGAACGGACGGUACCCGAGGAAUCGAGCCCCGGCUAACUACGUGCCAGCAGCCGC